RNAcentral lists this ribosomal RNA (811 nucleotides) under Escherichia coli. RNAcentral describes it as "partial 23S ribosomal RNA". It matches the Rfam family "Bacterial large subunit ribosomal RNA", at positions 418 to 1230 of the family's 2925-position model. Lineage: Bacteria; Pseudomonadati; Pseudomonadota; Gammaproteobacteria; Enterobacterales; Enterobacteriaceae. The record is from RNAcentral.
CGGGACACGUGGUAUCCUGUCUGAAUAUGGGGGGACCAUCCUCCAAGGCUAAAUACUCCUGACUGACCGAUAGUGAACCAGUACCGUGAGGGAAAGGCGAAAAGAACCCCGGCGAGGGGAGUGAAAAAGAACCUGAAACCGUGUACGUACAAGCAGUGGGAGCACGCUUAGGCGUGUGACUGCGUACCUUUUGUAUAAUGGGUCAGCGACUUAUAUUCUGUAGCAAGGUUAACCGAAUAGGGGAGCCGAAGGGAAACCGAGUCUUAACUGGGCGUUAAGUUGCAGGGUAUAGACCCGAAACCCGGUGAUCUAGCCAUGGGCAGGUUGAAGGUUGGGUAACACUAACUGGAGGACCGAACCGACUAAUGUUGAAAAAUUAGCGGAUGACUUGUGGCUGGGGGUGAAAGGCCAAUCAAACCGGGAGAUAGCUGGUUCUCCCCGAAAGCUAUUUAGGUAGCGCCUCGUGAAUUCAUCUCCGGGGGUAGAGCACUGUUUCGGCAAGGGGGUCAUCCCGACUUACCAACCCGAUGCAAACUGCGAAUACCGGAGAAUGUUAUCACGGGAGACACACGGCGGGUGCUAACGUCCGUCGUGAAGAGGGAAACAACCCAGACCGCCAGCUAAGGUCCCAAAGUCAUGGUUAAGUGGGAAACGAUGUGGGAAGGCCCAGACAGCCAGGAUGUUGGCUUAGAAGCAGCCAUCAUUUAAAGAAAGCGUAAUAGCUCACUGGUCGAGUCGGCCUGCGCGGAAGAUGUAACGGGGCUAAACCAUGCACCGAAGCUGCGGCAGCGACACUAUGUGUUGUUGGGUA